RNAcentral lists this ribosomal RNA (501 nucleotides) under uncultured bacterium. Its description in RNAcentral is "partial 16S ribosomal RNA". It matches the Rfam family "Bacterial small subunit ribosomal RNA", at positions 29 to 523 of the family's 1533-position model. The record is from RNAcentral.
AUUGAACGCUGGCGGCAUGCCUUACACAUGCAAGUCGAACGGCAGCACGGGUGCUUGCACCUGGUGGCGAGUGGCGAGCGGGUGAGUAAUACAUCGGAACGUACCUUAUCGUGGGGGAUAACGCAGCGAAAGCUGUGCUAAUACCGCAUACGCCCUGAGGGGGAAAGCGGGGGAUCGCAAGACCUCGCGCGAUUAGAGCGGCCGAUGCCUGAUUAGCUUGUUGGUGGGGUAAAAGCCCACCAAGGCGACGAUCAGUAGCUGGUCUGAGAGGACGGUCAGCCACACCGGGACUGAGACACGGCCCAGACUCCUACGGGAGGCAGCAGUGGGGAAUUUUGGACAAUGGGGGCAACCCUGAUCCAGCAAUGCCGCGUGAGUGAAGAAGGCCUUCGGGUUGUAAAGCUCUUUUGUCAGGGAAGAAACACCGGCUCUAACACAGUCCGGGAAUGACGGUACCUGAAGAAUAAGCACCGGCUAACUACGUGCCAGCCGCCGCCGUAA